This 778-nucleotide ribosomal RNA is filed under the name uncultured Neocallimastigales. RNAcentral describes it as "partial large subunit ribosomal RNA". It matches the Rfam family "Eukaryotic large subunit ribosomal RNA", at positions 22 to 646 of the family's 3401-position model. Lineage: Eukaryota; Fungi; Neocallimastigomycota; Neocallimastigomycetes; Neocallimastigales. The record is from RNAcentral.
UAGAUGCGAGAGUAGAGCAUAUCAAUAAGCGGAGGAAAAGAAACUAACAAGGAUUCCCCUAGUAACGGCGAGUGAAGCGGGAAGAGCUCAAAUUUGAAAUCUUAAAGGGUUUCCCUUUACGAAUUGUAGUUUAAAGAAGUGUUUUCUGUUGGAGUUUCGGUAAAAGUUCUUUGGAAUAGGACAUCAUAGAGGGUGAGAAUCCCGUAUUUGACCGUUACUUUCCAGCUUUGUGAUACACUUUCAAAGAGUCGGAUUGUUUGGGAAUGCAGUCCAAAAUGGGUGGUAAAUUUCAUCUAAAGCUAAAUAUUGGCGAGAGACCGAUAGCGAACAAGUACCGUGAGGGAAAGAUGAAAAGAACUUUGAAAAGAGAGUUAAACAGUACGUGAAAUUGUCAAAAGGGAAGCGUUUGACACCAGUGUUGUUUUCUCGAAAAUCAAUUAAAAAUGAUGGGAUUUUGUGUUGUAUUGACUUUAUCAGCUUUCUGCACUUUUUUCUUAUCUUUUUUAAUGCACUUUUCGUUUAACAAGUCAACAUCAAUUUCUUUUGUUGUAAAAGAGUCAUGAGGAAGGUGGCUUUCUUUUCGGAGAAAGUGUUUAUAGCCUUGGCUUCUGCAAUCGGAGAGAUUGAGGUCUGCAGCGUAGAUCCUUCGGGGUUAGAUACAUUUGUGCUAAGUUAUAGCCUUUCAUAGACAACUUGUUGACUUAUGAUUAAGUCAUUGUAGCUUACUCGCUUAUGCUAUUUUACCUACGCUUAGGAUGUUGACGAGACUGUCGAUCUC